GACGAACGCUAGCGGCAGGCUUAACACAUGCAAGUCGAGGGGCAGCACGGACUUCGGUCUGGUGGCGACCGGCAAACGGGUGCGGAACACGUACACAAUCUACCUUUAUCUGGGGUAUAGCCCGAAGAAAUUCGGAUUAAUCCCCCAUAAUAUAUUAGAGUGGCAUCACUUCGAUAUUAAAACUCCGGUGGAAAAAGAUGAGUGUGCGUCCCAUUAGCUAGUUGGUAGGGUAACGGCCUACAAAGGCAACGAUGGGUAGCUGGUGUGAGAGCACGACCAGCCACACGGGCACUGAGACACGGGCCCGACUCCUACGGGAGGCAGCAGUGAGGAAUAUUGGUCGAUGGACGCAAGUCUGAACCAGCCAUGCCGCGUGAAGGAUGAAGGCCUUCUGGGUUGUAAACUUCUUUUAUUGGGGAAGAAAAUUACGGUUUCUACUGUAACCGACGGUACCCAAGGAAUAAGCACCGGCUAACUCCGUGCCAGCCGCCGCAGUAA
Molecule: ribosomal RNA, 498 nt
Filed under: uncultured bacterium
Lineage: Bacteria
Description: partial 16S ribosomal RNA
Rfam family: Bacterial small subunit ribosomal RNA
Source: RNAcentral